Non-coding RNA from Felis catus (domestic cat), 85 nucleotides. NCBI's taxonomy places the organism in Eukaryota, Metazoa, Chordata, Mammalia, Carnivora, Felidae. The record is from Rfam.
GCCUGGGUGGCUCAAUCGGUUGGGCAUCUGACUUCGGCUCAGGUCAUGAUCUCACAGCUCGUGAGUUCGAGCCUCGCAUCGGGCU